AGAGUUUGAUCAUGGCUCAGAAUGAACGCUGGCGGCGUGCUUAACACAUGCAAGUCGCACGAGAACUCUUUAGCUUGCUAAAGAUAGUAAAGUGGCGCACGGGUGAGUAACGCGUGGGUAAUCUACCCCUGAAUCGGGGAUAACACCGCGAAAGCGAUGCUAAUACCGGAUAAUAUCUUUUAAGCUUCGGCUUACCAGAUCAAAGGUGGCCUCUACAUGAAAGCUACUGUUUGGAGAUGGGCCCGCGUACCAUUAGCUUGUUGGUGGGGUAAUGGCCCACCAAGGCAUCGAUGGUUAGCUGGUCUGAGAGGAUGAUCAGCCACACUGGAACUGACACACGGUCCAGACUCCUACGGGAGGCAGCAGUGAGGAAUUUUGCGCAAUGGGGGAAACCCUGACGCAGCAACGCCGCGUGAGUGAUGAAGGCCCUCGGGUCGUAAAACUCUGUCAAGUGGGAAGAACCUGCUUUAUGUUAAUACCAUAUUGCACUGACGGUACCACUGAAGGAAGCACCGGCUAACUCCGUGCCAGCAGCCGCGGUAAUACGGAGGGUGCAAGCGUUAUUCGGAAUUAUUGGGCGUAAAGAGCGCGUAGGCGGUCUUUUAUGUCAGAUGUGAAAGCCCGAGGCUUAACCUCGGAAGUGCAUUUGAAACUAAGGGACUUGAGUAUGGGAGAGGGAAGUGGAAUUCCUGGUGUAGAGGUGAAAUUCGUAGAUAUCAGGAGGAACACCGGUGGCGAAGGCGACUUCCUGGACCAAUACUGACGCUGAGGCGCGAAGGCGUGGGGAGCAAACAGGAUUAGAUACCCUGGUAGUCCACGCAGUAAACGGUGAACACUAGGUAUAGCGGGUAUUGACCCCUGCUGUGCCGUAGUUAACGCAUUAAGUGUUCCGCCUGGGGAGUACGACCGCAAGGUUAAAACUCAAAGGAAUUGACGGGGGCCCGC
This 945-nucleotide ribosomal RNA is filed under the name uncultured Pseudomonadota bacterium. RNAcentral describes it as "bacterial SSU rRNA". It matches the Rfam family "Bacterial small subunit ribosomal RNA", at positions 8 to 924 of the family's 1533-position model. Lineage: Bacteria; Pseudomonadati; Pseudomonadota. The record is from RNAcentral.